AUAAGGUUCUAUCUUUUUAAAAUAAAUGGGUUCCUAUUUUGUGUCAGGAUAGUACCUAUAUAAAGGGUAUUUCUUUAGGGUUCCUAGCUAAUAGAGUUUUUGGUGAAACAAACUCUUCUCUCUCCCUUCUUCACACCUCCUCUCCUCCCUCUUUUCUCUUCGACACCCAAGAGUUGGGCGUUCUCUCUUCCAUAUGACAAGAGGUAGUGCUUUGUGACUUCAAGAGUAAAGAUCAAGGAGAAGAAGAAGAAGGCUGCUGAUUAAGGAGUUGAUCCCACAGUC
Molecule: long non-coding RNA, 282 nt
Filed under: Elaeis guineensis (African oil palm)
Lineage: Eukaryota; Viridiplantae; Streptophyta; Magnoliopsida; Arecales; Arecaceae
Description: long non-coding RNA (EGUI_LNC035530)
Source: RNAcentral